Molecule: non-coding RNA, 200 nt
Organism: Oryza glumipatula
Lineage: Eukaryota; Viridiplantae; Streptophyta; Magnoliopsida; Poales; Poaceae
Source: Rfam
AAUAAACCCUGAGUUUUCAUGUCCAACGUUUGAUCGUCCGUCUUAUUUAAAAAAAUUAUAAAAAAAUUUAAAAAGAUAAGUUACGCAUAAAGUAUUAAUCAUAUUUUAUCAUCUAACAACAAUGAAAAUACUAAUUAUAAAAAAUUCCAUAAAAGACGACAGUCAAACGUUAUAUACGGAAAUUCAGGGUUUGUCUCUCU